CAACCUGAGGCCUGUGGCUUCAGUGACAUCCCCUUUCUUUGAAACUGCUUCUACAAAUUGCUGUUCACGCUUUUGGGAGCAUUGAAUGAGCCUGUAUGUGUUAAACACUUACAAGCAUAAGUUAUAUUCUUGAUUGGUGGCAUGAGAAGGUACUAUGAAGCUUCUUUUUCUCCAAAGGUGAAAUGGUUGAAGUUGGGCUUUCUACCAGAAUAUGAAAAUAAAUAGAUGCAGGUUAAUCACACCUCCAGCUACUUAGUGGCAAAGACUGUCUAAUAUCUCUUGCAGAAACUCAUUUACAGGUAAAAACAUGUCCAUGUUUCCUUUGAUUUGCCCUGAGGAACUCAAGAGGAUUGGCCCCAAAUUUCAGAGCACA
This is a long non-coding RNA of Marmota monax (woodchuck), 373 nucleotides long. RefSeq lists it as uncharacterized. The transcript has 3 exons. The record is from RefSeq and is a predicted model, not a curated record. Lineage: Eukaryota; Metazoa; Chordata; Mammalia; Rodentia; Sciuridae.